UGGUUAGAUUGUUUAAAUCAAACUGUUUAAAGAGAAGCUCAAAGAAAUGUAAGCAAGAUUUCUUUUGUGGUUUAAAAUAAUGCCCUCUGCUGAAAUAUAAUGGUACUUGAAAUCAGAAGAGUAAGGAAUGUGAUCACCCAAUAGACCUUGGCAACAGCUCCCACUUGGGUAAGUAUAGUUUUUGGCUAUGUUGUUGAAAUUUGUUUUUAUUUAGUUUCUGAAAUCCAUCUAUACAAAAGUGAGAUGACUCUUUCUAGGAAUGCAUUUAAUACUUUGAAAAAAGAAAUGGACUCUCCCCAAUACAUUCAGAUUUAUUUUAUACUUCUUUCUAUAUUCCUCCCUUCUCUAGAACUCCUGCCCAAACUACUAUACACUAUGAAAUUAAAGAAUAUACUGUUAUAUCCUUUUAAAAU
RNAcentral lists this long non-coding RNA (413 nucleotides) under Bos taurus (domestic cattle). Its description in RNAcentral is "long non-coding RNA NONBTAT000251". The record is from RNAcentral. Lineage: Eukaryota; Metazoa; Chordata; Mammalia; Artiodactyla; Bovidae.